Molecule: ribosomal RNA, 253 nt
Filed under: uncultured bacterium
Lineage: Bacteria
Description: partial 16S ribosomal RNA
Rfam family: Bacterial small subunit ribosomal RNA
Source: RNAcentral
UACGAAGGGGGCAAGCGUUGUUCGGAAUUACUGGGCGUAAAGGGCGCGUAGGCGGCCGAUCAAGUCAGGCGUGAAAUUCCCGGGCUCAACCUGGGGGCUGCGCUUGAUACUGAUUGGCUUGAAUGCGGGAGAGGCAAGCGGAAUUCCAGGUGUAGCGGUGAAAUGCGUAGAUAUCUGGAGGAACACCCGUGGUGCAGACGGCUUGCUGGACCGUGACUGACGCUGAGGCACGAAAGCGUGGGUAGCAAACAGG